AUUGAACGCUGGCGGCAGGCCUAACACAUGCAAGUCGAGCGGGGUUUUCGGACCUAGCGGCGGACGGGUGAGUAACACGUGAGCAACCUGCCCCUGACUCUGGGAUAAGCGCUGGAAACGGCGUCUAAUACUGGAUACGAGACGUGACCGCAUGGUCAACGUUUGGAAAGAUUUUUCGGUUGGGGAUGGGCUCGCGGCCU
This 200-nucleotide ribosomal RNA is filed under the name uncultured bacterium. RNAcentral's name for it is "partial 16S ribosomal RNA". It matches the Rfam family "Bacterial small subunit ribosomal RNA", at positions 30 to 239 of the family's 1533-position model. The record is from RNAcentral.